CCCUUAGACGUUCUGGGCCGCACGCGCGCUACACUGGCCGGUGCAACAAGCAUCCGUCCUUGGCCGACAGGCCCGGGCAAUCUUUGAACGCCGGUCGUGAUGGGGAUAGACUUUUGCAAUUUUUGGUCUUCAACGAGGAAUUCCUAGUAAACGCAAGUCAUCAACUUGCAUUGACUACGUCCCUGCCCUUUGUACACACCGCCCGUCGCACCUACCGAUUGAAUGGUCCGGUGAAGCCUCCGGAUUGGCGCGCACCUCGGUGCCGCCGAGAAGUUGGCUAAACCUUACCAUUUAGAGGAAGGUGAAGUCGUAACA
This 315-nucleotide ribosomal RNA is filed under the name uncultured eukaryote. RNAcentral describes it as "partial 18S ribosomal RNA". It matches the Rfam family "Eukaryotic small subunit ribosomal RNA", at positions 1470 to 1796 of the family's 1831-position model. The record is from RNAcentral.